UUUGUGGAGAGUUUGAUCCUGGCUCAGGACGAACGCUGGCGGCGUGCUUAACACAUGCAAGUCGAACGGAAAGGCCUGCAGCUUGCUGCGGGUACUCGAGUGGCGAACGGGUGAGUAACACGUGGGUGAUCUGCCUUGCACUUCGGGAUAAGCUUGGGAAACUGGGUCUAAUACCGGAUAGGACAGCUGUUUAGUGUCAGUUGUGGAAAGUUUUUUCGGUGCAAGAUGAGCUCGCGGCCUAUCAGCUUGUUGGUGGGGUAAUGGCCUACC
This 270-nucleotide ribosomal RNA is filed under the name Corynebacterium striatum. Its description in RNAcentral is "partial 16S ribosomal RNA". It matches the Rfam family "Bacterial small subunit ribosomal RNA", at positions 1 to 269 of the family's 1533-position model. The record is from RNAcentral. Lineage: Bacteria; Bacillati; Actinomycetota; Actinomycetes; Mycobacteriales; Corynebacteriaceae.